UGCGAACGUUAUUCGGAAUCACUGGGCUUAAAGGGUGCGUAGGCUGCGAGGAGGGUGGGGUGUGAAAUCCCUCGGCUUAACCGAGGAAUUGCGCUCCAAACCGCCUUGCUGGAGUGAGACAGAGGUGAGCGGAACUAAUGGUGGAGCGGUGAAAUGCGUUGAUAUCAUUAGGAACACCAGAGGCGAAGGCGGCUCACUGGGUCUCAACUGACGCUGAUGCACGAAAGCUAGGGUAGCGAACGGG
Molecule: ribosomal RNA, 244 nt
Filed under: uncultured bacterium
Lineage: Bacteria
Description: partial 16S ribosomal RNA
Rfam family: Bacterial small subunit ribosomal RNA
Source: RNAcentral